GCCCUCUUUGCAGCUUCAAGUGAUCAGUCCUACUCCUCACCCUCCCCUGACUCUUAGUAUCUGAGCAACUUCCAAGAACAAACCAUCACUUGCACUGCACUUUGCUCAUUAGUCAUUACCCAUAUCAUGCCUCGCCUAUUGGGAAACCUUACACCUCAAAUCCUUGUUCAGGCACUUAGAUCCAUGCCUCGCCAAGCUACAUCCUCGCUCAAAGUGAGAACGCACGGAGGAACAAGAGGGUCAGGCCCCAGCCAUGGAAGCGUUGGAGGGAAAAGAAGGUCACCCAUCAGCCAGGGGAAAGGUGGACAACAUAAUGAGGUGGUUCAAAAAAUGCCGAAUGGUAACAACGGAAGCAAAUGAAAUGACGAGGCUAGGGUUGAAGCUAACGCGGCAAAGAAAUUGGGCAAUUAGAGAAUUAGAAAUUGCAAAGUUUCAGAAAACAUAUUUGAUAGAUGUUUUAAUUAAGACUAGUGAUUUUGAGUGUUCGUCAUUGUUAGUGAUUGUAUGAGUGCUUUGGUAGCAUAAGACAUUAAUUAGUAAGAUGUGUAGAUUAAUUAAUUCCAGUUCUGUCCUGUCAUGGCAUAUUGAUUGUGCUUCAUAACGUACAUCAGUAUGGUACCAGGCCAAUUAAUUAAUCUUGCUUGGCAAUAUUAUUCUAUUCUUGAAAUCUAAAUAAAGCUGUAUUAAUUUUCCUUGUUUGAAAAAA
Long non-coding RNA from Glycine soja, 706 nucleotides. RefSeq lists it as uncharacterized. NCBI's taxonomy places the organism in Eukaryota, Viridiplantae, Streptophyta, Magnoliopsida, Fabales, Fabaceae. The transcript is spliced from 2 exons. The record is from RefSeq and is a predicted model, not a curated record.